This 253-nucleotide ribosomal RNA is filed under the name uncultured bacterium. Its description in RNAcentral is "partial 16S ribosomal RNA". It matches the Rfam family "Bacterial small subunit ribosomal RNA", at positions 524 to 776 of the family's 1533-position model. The record is from RNAcentral.
UACGGAGGGUGCAAGCGUUGUCCGGAUUUAUUGGGUUUAAAGGGUGCGUAGGCGGCCCCUUAAGUCAGUGGUGAAAGCCCGCGGCUCAACCGCGGAACUGCCAUUGAUACUGGGGGGCUUGAGUACAGACGAGGUAGGCGGAAUUGAAGAUGUAGCGGUGAAAUGCUUAGAUAUCUUCAAGAACACCGAUUGCGUAGGCAGCUUACUAGGCUGUAACUGACGCUGAGGCACGAAAGCGUGGGGAGCAAACAGG